Molecule: non-coding RNA, 821 nt
Organism: Ceratotherium simum simum (southern white rhinoceros)
Lineage: Eukaryota; Metazoa; Chordata; Mammalia; Perissodactyla; Rhinocerotidae
Source: RefSeq, a predicted model, not a curated record
GGCUGAGGAGCUUGGAGUUUGUCUUGUGGAGCGGGUGGGGGGUAGGGGAGAAGGGUGUUAGGGAGCCAUGGCAGGGUUUAGAGCAGGGGAGGACUGGGUCAGAGCUGAAGCCAGAACUGGAGGAAUGAGACUGGAAGCCAGUAGCCCAGAAGGCGGCUUGGGCAGGGACCCAGGCAGGAGAGGAUGGAGCCUGGAUUAGGCCAGAGGCCAAGGGGAUAAGGCAGAGAUUCAGGAGGCAGAAAGAACAGAAUAUGGGGCUUGAUGGGCUGUGGGAUGAGGAGGUGUCCAGGACAAGACUGAGAACUCUGGCCUAGAGGACUUGGGGAUGAUGGAGUCACCCCUGAGAUGGGGACAGGAAAGAGGAGCAGUUGGUGGGUGAUGACUGUUUUGGCAGAGAUAAGCAAGGAGUCUUAUGAGCUGGAACUCAGGGGGAAAUGUGACUCAGGCCAGUGGGUCUGGACCUUCGGGGAGACCUCUGGGCUAUGGCUCCCUCUCCCAUCACAGGCCCUGACUCAGAAGUCACUUAUUGGGUGAAUGAGAGCCUCUGAGGUUCUAGUCCCUCAUCUCCAGCCAGAAGUGAGCACCUAGCCUGCUCUCCUGCCUCCUCCUGGAUGUCCCCCUGAAUUGUCUCAUGAAGACCUUUUGAUCUGUCCAUGUGCAAAACAGCCCUUAGCAUCUUACCUGCCUCGUACACCACUGAGCCUCCUCCCAGUAAAGAGCCUCACUGUCCACCUGCUCCCCUGGCCAGACCCAAGUGUCAUCUUUGUCCCCUUGCUCUCCUGUAACCUCUGCUCCAUCCUCAGUAAGUCCUAUUCAUCCAA